Molecule: long non-coding RNA, 190 nt
Organism: Choloepus didactylus (southern two-toed sloth)
Lineage: Eukaryota; Metazoa; Chordata; Mammalia; Pilosa; Megalonychidae
Exons: 3
Source: RefSeq, a predicted model, not a curated record
CAGUGUUAGGUCAUGCAUGAACAGCAUCAAACUGAACUUCAGCGUUAACAUACACCACUUGUGAUAGAUAGUCUUUGGAUAGUGCUGGACUAAAGAAGAGAGAAGAGGAAGCAGGCUUUCUUGGGACCAAAAUAAUGAGGAAGGGGGAGAGUGGGUACUUUAUAUUUUCUGCAUGAUUUUUCUGUAAACC